AAACUGUGAAUAUGUCACCUUACCUGGCAAAUGCGACUUUGUGGGUGUAAAUUGAGUGGGGAAGAUUGAAUUAAAUUCAGUUGGAAGAUUAGUCUGGAUUUCCCAGGUGAGCCCAAUCUAAUCCCACAGGUUCUUAAUAGUGGAAAACCUUCCCCAGCUGUGGUCAGAGGGAGACGUUACUGGGGAAGAUUGGUUAGAGGGAUGCAGCGAUGCUGGCUUUGGAGAUGGAGAAAGGGCCGUCUCCGGAAGCUGGAAAGGCAAGGAAAUGAAUCCUUCCGCGGACCCUCCAGCAGGGGAGCAGCCCUGUUGACACCCUGAUUUUAGCCCUGGAAGACCUGUGUCAGACUUCUGACCUACAGAACUACUUUAAAGGACCAAAUUACGUCUGUAUUCACAAAAGAUUUGUGGAAGUGCAAGUCACGAGCUUUGAAGAACAAUGACUGUGAGGAUCUUAUCCCCUGCUGGACAGCAAAGGGAGUGAACCUCCUCUACCUUACGAAAGCAGAGCAUGUCCGUCAAGAGCCACCACCAGCGGCGAAUGGAGAUGGCGGAAAAAGGAAAGUCUGAAUGCUGACUGUCAGUGAUGCUGUGUGCGAAGAUCCUGCAUGUCAUAGGACAGUUCACCAUUGUUGGGCUACAGCUCAAAGUGUCUCAACUCACAGCUUUUGACAAGGGCUGAUGCGUCACACAAAUCCACAGAGCACCAUUCACAGAGACUAUGAUGUGAAUGGUGCCCUCCAGGAGUUGUGUAUCCUAUAAUCAAUUCAUCCCCAACCCCCCAGCUCCUCUGCUCUCUCCCUCUUCACUAUGCUUGGACAGUCUCCCAUCCAUCCUUGAACAGCAUAUUUUCCUUUUUUCCUUUUCUUCACCUAAAUAAUUCCCAUUCUCCGUUCUCAGCGAUGUCAAGCAUCAUCUUCUUCCUUCACAAUCCCUUUCCCCACCAGCCUAACCCUCAUCAUGGCCAGGUUUCCCUCUCGAAGAACCUGUAACAUGACGAGCUUCUCUUGUGUAGAGCUCUCACCAUUGGAGAUCUCAAU
Molecule: long non-coding RNA, 1037 nt
Filed under: Equus asinus (donkey)
Lineage: Eukaryota; Metazoa; Chordata; Mammalia; Perissodactyla; Equidae
Description: lncRNA (ENSEASG00005025903.1)
Source: RNAcentral